RNAcentral lists this long non-coding RNA (2152 nucleotides) under Homo sapiens (human). RNAcentral describes it as "HSALNT0387266". The record is from RNAcentral. Lineage: Eukaryota; Metazoa; Chordata; Mammalia; Primates; Hominidae.
AGGGGUUUCCGCUUUUGCUUCUUCCUCAUUUUCUCUUGCUGCUGCCAUUUUCGCCUCCCGCCAUGAUUCUGAGGCCUCCCCAGCUAUGUGGAACUGUAAGUCCAGUUAAACCUCGUUUUCUUCCCAGUCUCAGGGUGAUGGAUCUCUGCAGUAAGUGGAAGAGUUCUUCAUGGCCCCCAAGGUUAUAUCCAUCUAGAACUUCAGCACGUAAUUUCAUCUGGAAAUAGUGCCUUUGCGGAUAUAAGUUAGGUAAAACUGAAGAUGAGAUCAUACUGGAUUAGGAUGGGAUCUAAAUCCAAUGAAAAUGUCUUCAUAAAAAACAGGAAAGAACCCAUAGAAACACAAGGAAGAAGGUCAUGUGAAGAUGGAGGCAGAGAUUGGAGGGAUGCAGCCACCGGCCCAGGAAUGCCAGCAGCCACCCAGAAGCUGGAAGGAAAUGAGGGAUUCUCUCCUAGAACCUUUAGAGAGAACAUGGUCCUGUGAACAGCUUGAUUUUGGACUUGCCCAUAGCUUGUAUACUCUUACUUUGGAUACAAUUUUAUCCAAACUUGGCUAAACAGUUUCUCAGCCUAUGGAAAAUUUAAAAUGGAGAAGAUUCAACUCGAUUCUUACAGAUUCAAAGCAAGAAAAUGAUGGGAACAUAGGAGGAGACCAAGAAAGCCUAUAAAAAGCAAAAAUAUGAAGUGAACAUUGUGGUAGCUUUAAGAUGUUUAGUGUAGCUGCAGGCACCCUAUACACAUGAAAACCCCCAAGGGGAAUCCCCAUAUCACAGUGUAGUGUGAUAUUUGACAUUCGUGAUCAUCUAGAGAUGUACAGAAAAGGUGAAUCUGUGUUCUGUAUAUUCUGCCUAAGGCAAAGAAAUGUUUAGCUCUCUUUAAAAUAGUUCCAUAAUUUUUUCUAAAAAGCUUUGCUUGAAAACUGUAAGCUUCCCAUAUCUGGAGCAUUUCACUUUAAAUAUUUGGAUAAAUAUGUUAUCUUCUUACUUGGACAUUUCAUGUGUUUAGGGAUUGUCUUCUAAAUUCUUCCUAAUUCAUAUAGCUGCUAACACUUCCCGCAGAGCUAAACCAUUACAGAUAUGAAAUAAAGACCUAUUGAUUUGACUUACUUUUACUUGUAAAACCUUCUGAGUGUUAUAACCUCAUUUAAUCUUUCAGCAUUUACAGUUUCAAGAGUUUGUGUCACAAUUAGAAGAAUUCAGCUGCACCUCCAAGUGACAGCAGUUGCUCUGGUUGGUGGGUGAUCUCAGGAGGCUUGAGAAUUGCUUUGUCUGUGAGGGAAGUAAGACAUUUUCAGAGCCCCACUUUAGAAGGUGUGAACUGGCUAGAUAAUGAACCCCAGGGCUAACGCUGCUAUAGCAGUGGGAAGGAGGUGAUGGGUUUUCAGUUUGGACCUCAAACAUCAAUACCCUCCUGGUACGGGGAGGAACAGAGUCCCUCCUUUACUUCUCCAUUAGAAAGAAUGAGAUGGCAAGACAAUGAAACAGGCAAAGUGAACAGAGAUGCAAGACAAAAUUCAGGUGAGAGAGCCAGAGCAUCACUCAGCCAUUCCUGACAUGUAAAACAGGCAACUAGAAAUUUGCAGAAAGGAAGCGAAGUCUCCAUAAAGAUGUUUUUAAAGUGAGCUUGAAGUAUUUGGAGACAAUUCAGUGUUACAUAAAAUCUGCAAAUCUCUGGAUAAAGAAGCAGAGAUCCCAGCAUGGGACAAAUGGAGCCUCAAAAGUGGGAAGAAGACAGAGAAGACCAGGGCAGAAUGCAUCUCUUCCUUUCUCUUGGCUUUCCUGGAUAAGGACUGCAUCAUUCCUGUGGAAGGACAGGCCAUCAGCUCCGAAACACUGUAUGUAUUUUCCAGUAUAUACUGCUAGCUGUGUGAUGUUGGGAAAAUUUGUUACCCUGUCUAACCCCCACUUCCCUCAUCUGUAAAAUGGAAAUAAUGAUAGUACCUACCUAUCUCAUAGGUGGCAACUACAAGGGGCAGCACACUCAGGGAAUUAAGGAAGUUUCAGUGAACAUCAACUUUAUGAACACAGUGUUCAUAAAGGCAGGUCAGUGCAGUGGUUUGGGAGCCAGGAGAAGCACGUGGGCCGGAGUGUGCCUGCAGGAGACAAGGUCAGAGAUGUUGCUAAUAAUGGAGAAUAAAGGAUGCAUUCUCAUUA